UUGGAGGGCAAGUCUGGUGCCAGCAGCCGCGGUAAUUCCAGCUCCAAUAGCGUAUAUUAAAGUUGUUACAGUUAAAAAGCUCGUAGUUGAAUUUCGGGAUCAGAUUGUCGGUCGUGCCUCGGUACGCACUGGUAUUAUUGGUUCCUACCUUCUGAAGAACCGCGAUGUCAUUAAUUUGGUGUCGUGGGGAAUCAGGACUGUUACUUUGAAAAAAUUAGAGUGUUUAAAGCAGGCUUACGCUUGAAUACAUUAGCAUGGAAUAAUGAAAUAGGACGUUUGAUUCUAUUUUGUUGGUUUCUAGGAUUGACGUAAUGAUUAAUAGGGAUAGUUGGGGGCAUUAGUAUUCAAUUGUCAGAGGUGAAAUUCUUGGAUUUAUUGAAGACUAACUACUGCGAAAGCAUUUGCCAAGGAUGUUUUCAUUAAUCAAGAACGAAAGUUAGGGGAUCGAAGACGAUCAGAUACCGUCGUAGUCUUAACCAUAAACUAUGCCGACUAGGGAUCGGAUGAUGUUAAUUUUUUAAUGACUCAUUCGGCGCCUUACGGGAAAC
This 548-nucleotide ribosomal RNA is filed under the name uncultured Glomeromycotina. RNAcentral describes it as "SSU rRNA". It matches the Rfam family "Eukaryotic small subunit ribosomal RNA", at positions 548 to 1098 of the family's 1831-position model. The record is from RNAcentral. Lineage: Eukaryota; Fungi; Glomeromycota.